RNAcentral lists this ribosomal RNA (407 nucleotides) under uncultured bacterium. RNAcentral describes it as "partial 16S ribosomal RNA". It matches the Rfam family "Bacterial small subunit ribosomal RNA", at positions 30 to 526 of the family's 1533-position model. The record is from RNAcentral.
AUUGAACGCUGGCGGCAGGCCUAACACAUGCAAGUCGAGCGGAGCGGCGGACGGGUGAGUAAUGCCUGGGAAUCUGCCUGGUAGUGGGGGAUAACGUCCGGAAACGGGCGCUAAUACCGCAUACUAUCAGAUGAGCCUAGGUCGGAUUAGCUAGUGGGGGGGGUAAAGGCCUACCAAGGCGACGAGCCGUACCUGGUCUGAGAGGAUGAUCAGUCACACUGGAAUGGAGACCGGGCCCAUACUCCGACGGGAGGCAGCAGUGGGGAAUAUUGGAAAAUGGGCGAAAGCCUGCUCCAGCAAGGCCGCGUGUGUGAAGAAGGUCUUCGGAUUGUAAAGUACUUUAAGUUGGGAGGCGUUACCAACAGAAUAAGCACCGGCUAACUUCGUGCCAGCCGCCGCGGUAAUUC